Molecule: non-coding RNA, 45 nt
Filed under: Schistosoma mattheei
Lineage: Eukaryota; Metazoa; Platyhelminthes; Trematoda; Strigeidida; Schistosomatidae
Source: RNAcentral
AUUCAACUGAUGAGUCCUACAAAGGACGGAACGCGUAUCCUGGAU